GGCAGCAGUGAGGAAUAUUGCACAAUGGGCGAAAGCCUGAUGCAGCAACGCCGCGUGGGUGAUGAAGGCCUUCGGGUCGUAAAGCCCUUUUCUGGGGGACGAGGAAGGACGGUACCUCAGGAAUAAGCCUCGGCUAACUACGUGCCAGCAGCCGCGGUAAAACGUAGGAGGCGAGCGUUAUUCGGAUUUACUGGGCGUAAAGCGCGUGCAGGCGGUUCUGUAAGUUGGAGGUUAAAUCUCUCGGCUCAACUGAGAGGCGUCCUUCAAAACUGCGGGACUUGAGGAUGGGAGAGGAAAGUGGAAUUCCCGGUGUAGUGGUGGAAUGCGUAGAGAUCGGGAGGAACACCAGUGGCGAAGGCGGCUUUCUGGCCCAUUUCUGACGCUAAGACGCGAAAGCGUGGGGAGCGAACGGGAUUAGAUACCCCGGUAGUCCACGCUGUAAACGAUGGAUACUAGGUGUUGGUGGUAUUGACCCCACCGGUGCCGUAGCUAACGCGUUAAGUAUCCCGCCUGGGGACUACGGCCGCAAGGCUAAAACUCAAGUGAAUUGACGG
This 554-nucleotide ribosomal RNA is filed under the name uncultured bacterium. RNAcentral's name for it is "bacterial SSU rRNA". It matches the Rfam family "Bacterial small subunit ribosomal RNA", at positions 347 to 916 of the family's 1533-position model. The record is from RNAcentral.